Molecule: transfer RNA, 71 nt
Filed under: Colomys lumumbai
Lineage: Eukaryota; Metazoa; Chordata; Mammalia; Rodentia; Muridae
Description: Colomys sp. l TG-2021 tRNA-Gln
Rfam family: tRNA
About the family: Transfer RNA (tRNA) molecules are approximately 80 nucleotides in length.
Source: RNAcentral
UAGGGUAUGGUGUAAGGGUAGCACGAAGAAUUUUGAAUUCUUAGGUUUAGGUUCAAUUCCUAUUAUUCUAG